GCUCAGUGAUUGCUUUGCAUAGACCCCUCCAGGCCCAGAGCAGCAGCUCAGGGUUUAUAAAAGGGGCCUUUGCCAUGGGAGCUGAGCUGCAGCAGGCGGGCAGGGGCAGCAAGAUGGUGUCACAGACGCAGGUCCUCACGUUCUUGUUGCGCUGGGUCACAGGUGCCUGUGGGGACAUCGUGAUGACCCAUUCUCCAACCACCUUAUCUCUGUCUCCAGGACAGAGGGUCACCAUUAACUGCAGGGCCAGUCAAAGUGUUAGCAGUCACAUAGCCUGGUACCAGAAGAAGCCUGGGCAGGCUCCAAAAUUGCUCAUCUAUGAUGCAUCCAACUGGGCAUCUGGGGUCUCUGACCGCUUCAGCAACAGUGGGUCUGGGACAGAUUACACUUUCACAAUCAGCAGCCCCCAGGCUGAGGAUGUGGCAGCUUAUUACUGCAUACAAGAAUACAGCUAUCCUCCCACAGUGCUUCAGCCUUGA
Non-coding RNA from Manis javanica (Malayan pangolin), 479 nucleotides. The record is from the annotation of a RefSeq genome assembly. Lineage: Eukaryota; Metazoa; Chordata; Mammalia; Pholidota; Manidae.